RNAcentral lists this unclassified non-coding RNA (147 nucleotides) under soil metagenome. RNAcentral's name for it is "partial internal transcribed spacer 1". The record is from RNAcentral.
UCGUUGGGCUCCUGCCCAUUCGAGAUAACACCCUUGCCUUUUUGAGAUACCUUUUCGGUUUCCCUCGGCAGGCACGCCUGCCAACGGGGACCCUUCAAGACGCUUUGUAAUACCUGUCAUUGUCUGAUAUAACAAGCACAAAAAUCA